GAUGAACGCUGGCGGCGUGCCUAAUACAUGCAAGUCGAGCGAACAGACGAGGAGCUUGCUCCUCUGACGUUAGCGGCGGACGGGUGAGUAACACGUGGAUAACCUACCUAUAAGACUGGGAUAACUUCGGGAAACCGAAGCUAAUACCGGAUAAUAUAUUGAACCGCAUGGUUCAAUAGUGAAAGACGGUUUUGCUGUCACUUAUAGAUGGAUCCGCGCCGCAUUAGCUAGUUGGUAAGGUAACGGCUUACCAAGGCGACGAUGCGUAGCCGACCUGAGAGGGUGAUCGGCCACACUGGAACUGAGACACGGUCCAGACUCCUACGGGAGGCAGCAGUAGGGAAUCUUCCGCAAUGGGCGAAAGCCUGACGGAGCAACGCCGCGUGAGUGAUGAAGGUCUUCGGAUCGUAAAACUCUGUUAUUAGGGAAGAACAAAUGUGUAAGUAACUAUGCACGUCUUGACGGCACCUAAUCAGAAAGCCACGGCUAACUACGUG
Molecule: ribosomal RNA, 497 nt
Filed under: uncultured bacterium
Lineage: Bacteria
Description: partial 16S ribosomal RNA
Rfam family: Bacterial small subunit ribosomal RNA
Source: RNAcentral